This is a non-coding RNA of Potamilus streckersoni, 76 nucleotides long. The record is from the annotation of a GenBank genome assembly. Lineage: Eukaryota; Metazoa; Mollusca; Bivalvia; Unionida; Unionidae.
GACCGCUCCGGUGGCCUAGUGGUUAGGGCGUCCGCCUUGGAUGCAGCAAGUGUUGGUUCAAUCAACGGUUGGGUCA